Molecule: ribosomal RNA, 320 nt
Filed under: Clostridioides difficile
Lineage: Bacteria; Bacillati; Bacillota; Clostridia; Peptostreptococcales; Peptostreptococcaceae
Description: partial 23S ribosomal RNA
Rfam family: Bacterial large subunit ribosomal RNA
Source: RNAcentral
AGCUGGGUUCAGAACGUCGUGAGACAGUUCGGUCCCUAUCCGUCGCAGGCGUAGGAAAUUUGAGAAGACCUGUCCUUAGUACGAGAGGACCGGGAUGGACGUACCUCUGGUGUACCAGUUGUCCUGCCAAGGGCAUGGCUGGGUAGCUAUGUACGGAAUGGAUAAGCGCUGAAAGCAUCUAAGCGCGAAGCCAACUUCAAGAUAAGAUUUCCCACCGCAAGGGUAAGACCCCAGAAAGACUAUCUGGUUGAUAGGUCGAAGGUGUAAGUGCAGCAAUGUAUUUAGCUUAUCGAUACUAAUAGGUCGAGGACUUGACCAAU